GAUGAACGCUGGCGGCGUGCCUAAUACAUGCAAGUCGAGCGAACAGACGAGGAGCUUGCUCCUCUGACGUUAGCGGCGGACGGGUGAGUAACACGUGGAUAACCUACCUAUAAGACUGGGAUAACUUCGUGAAACCGGAUCUAAUACCGGAUAAUAUAUUGAACCGCAUGGUUCAAUAGUGAAAGACGGUUUUGCUGUCACUUAUAGAUGGAUCCGCGCCGCAUUAGCUAGUUGGUAAGGUAACGGCUUACCAAGGCAACGAUGCGUAGCCGACCUGAGAGGGUGAUCGGCCACACUGGAACUGAGACACGGUCCAGACUCCUACGGGAGGCAGCAGUAGGGAAUCUUCCGCAAUGGGCGAAAGCCUGACGGAGCAACGCCGCGUGAGUGAUGAAGGUCUUCGGAUCGUAAAACUCUGUUAUUAGGGAAGAACAAAUGUGUAAGUAACUAUGCACGUCUUGACGGUACCUAAUCAGAAAGCAACGGCUAACUACGUG
Molecule: ribosomal RNA, 497 nt
Filed under: uncultured bacterium
Lineage: Bacteria
Description: partial 16S ribosomal RNA
Rfam family: Bacterial small subunit ribosomal RNA
Source: RNAcentral